GACGAACGCUGGCGGCGUGCCUAAUACAUGCAAGUAGAACGCUGAAGAGAGGAGCUUGCUCUUCUGGAUGAGUUGCGAACGGGUGAGUAACGCGUAGGUAACCUGCCUUGUAGCGGGGGAUAACUAUUGGAAACGAUAGCUAAUACCGCAUAACAAUGGGUGACACAUGUCAUUUAUUUGAAAGGGGCAAUUGCUCCACUACAAGACGGACCUGCGUUGUAUUAGCUAGUAGGUGAGGUAACGGCUCACCUAGGCGACGAUACAUAGCCGACCUGAGAGGGUGAUCGGCCACACUGGGACUGAGACACGGCCCAGACUCCUACGGGAGGCAGCAGUAGGGAAUCUUCGGCAAUGGGGGCAACCCUGACCGAGCAACGCCGCGUGAGUGAAGAAGGUUUUCGGAUCGUAAAGCUCUGUUGUAAGAGAAGAACGAGUGUGAGAGUGGAAAGUUCACACUGUGACGGUAGCUUACCAGAAAGGGACGGCUAACUACGUGCCAGCAGCCGCGGUAAUACGUAGGUCCCGAGCGUUGUCCGGAUUUAUUGGGCGUAAAGCGAGCGCAGGCGGUUUGAUAAGUCUGAAGUUAAAGGCUGUGGCUCAACCAUAGUUCGCUUUGGAAACUGUCAAACUUGAGUGCAGAAGGGGAGAGUGGAAUUCCAUGUGUAGCGGUGAAAUGCGUAGAUAUAUGGAGGAACACCGGUGGCGAAAGCGGCUCUCUGGUCUGUAACUGACGCUGAGGCUCGAAAGCGUGGGGAGCGAACAGG
Molecule: ribosomal RNA, 764 nt
Filed under: uncultured Streptococcus sp.
Lineage: Bacteria; Bacillati; Bacillota; Bacilli; Lactobacillales; Streptococcaceae
Description: bacterial SSU rRNA
Rfam family: Bacterial small subunit ribosomal RNA
Source: RNAcentral